Molecule: long non-coding RNA, 297 nt
Organism: Anguilla anguilla (European eel)
Lineage: Eukaryota; Metazoa; Chordata; Actinopteri; Anguilliformes; Anguillidae
Exons: 2
Source: RefSeq, a predicted model, not a curated record
GCGAGGGUGCAUUUGAGGAAAGUCCCGAGUUUCCCUCGAUAGAUGUCACCAAGUCGACGCCGCUGGAAUCUUUUCCCCGAGGAGUUUCCAUGAAAAACCACCAAAGAAGAUGUCUAGCCAGGCCUGGAUAGUGGAGAAAUCUGGAAAACGAUGAAACAUCUGCAGAAAAGCCGGUUUGCCGUGACCUUCGACCUUUAUUCACACAACGGGCACCCUCUUGCCCUGCUACUCUGUAAAGUGCCUUUGUGACAGUUCUGUGUAAAAAGCGCUAUGCAAAUAAAAUUCAAUUGAACUGAA